GGUUAAGCGACUAAGCGUACACGGUGGAUGCCCUGGCAGUCAGAGGCGAUGAAGGACGUGCUAAUCUGCGAUAAGCGUCGGUAAGGUGAUAUGAACCGUUAUAACCGGCGAUUUCCGAAUGGGGAAACCCAGUGUGUUUCGACACACUAUCAUUAACUGAAUCCAUAGGUUAAUGAGGCGAACCGGGGGAACUGAAACAUCUAAGUACCCCGAGGAAAAGAAAUCAACCGAGAUUCCCCCAGUAGCGGCGAGCGAACGGGGAGCAGCCCAGAGCCUGAAUCAGUGUGUGUGUUAGUGGAAGCGUCUGGAAAGGCGCGCGAUACAGGGUGACAGCCCCGUACACAAAAAUGCACAUGCUGUGAGCUCGAUGAGUAGGGCGGGACACGUGGUAUCCUGUCUGAAUAUGGGGGGACCAUCCUCCAAGGCUAAAUACUCCUGACUGACCGAUAGUGAACCAGUACCGUGAGGGAAAGGCGAAAAGAACCCCGGCGAGGGGAGUGAAAAAGAACCUGAAACCGUGUACGUACAAGCAGUGGGAGCACGCUUAGGCGUGUGACUGCGUACCUUUUGUAUAAUGGGUCAGCGACUUAUAUUCUGUAGCAAGGUUAACCGAAUAGGGGAGCCGAAGGGAAACCGAGUCUUAACUGGGCGUUAAGUUGCAGGGUAUAGACCCGAAACCCGGUGAUCUAGCCAUGGGCAGGUUGAAGGUUGGGUAACACUAACUGGAGGACCGAACCGACUAAUGUUGAAAAAUUAGCGGAUGACUUGUGGCUGGGGGUGAAAGGCCAAUCAAACCGGGAGAUAGCUGGUUCUCCCCGAAAGCUAUUUAGGUAGCGCCUCGUGAAUUCAUCUCCGGGGGUAGAGCACUGUUUCGGCAAGGGGGUCAUCCCGACUUACCAACCCGAUGCAAACUGCGAAUACCGGAGAAUGUUAUCACGGGAGACACACGGCGGGUGCUAACGUCCGUCGUGAAGAGGGAAACAACCCAGACCGCCAGCUAAGGUCCCAAAGUCAUGGUUAAGUGGGAAACGAUGUGGGAAGGCCCAGACAGCCAGGAUGUUGGCUUAGAAGCAGCCAUCAUUUAAAGAAAGCGUAAUAGCUCACUGGUCGAGUCGGCCUGCGCGGAAGAUGUAACGGGGCUAAACCAUGCACCGAAGCUGCGGCAGCGACGCUUAUGCGUUGUUGGGUAGGGGAGCGUUCUGUAAGCCUGCGAAGGUGUGCUGUGAGGCAUGCUGGAGGUAUCAGAAGUGCGAAUGCUGACAUAAGUAACGAUAAAGCGGGUGAAAAGCCCGCUCGCCGGAAGACCAAGGGUUCCUGUCCAACGUUAAUCGGGGCAGGGUGAGUCGACCCCUAAGGCGAGGCCGAAAGGCGUAGUCGAUGGGAAACAGGUUAAUAUUCCUGUACUUGGUGUUACUGCGAAGGGGGGACGGAGAAGGCUAUGUUGGCCGGGCGACGGUUGUCCCGGUUUAAGCGUGUAGGCUGGUUUUCCAGGCAAAUCCGGAAAAUCAAGGCUGAGGCGUGAUGACGAGGCACUACGGUGCUGAAGCAACAAAUGCCCUGCUUCCAGGAAAAGCCUCUAAGCAUCAGGUAACAUCAAAUCGUACCCCAAACCGACACAGGUGGUCAGGUAGAGAAUACCAAGGCGCUUGAGAGAACUCGGGUGAAGGAACUAGGCAAAAUGGUGCCGUAACUUCGGGAGAAGGCACGCUGAUAUGUAGGUGAAGCGACUUGCUCGUGGAGCUGAAAUCAGUCGAAGAUACCAGCUGGCUGCAACUGUUUAUUAAAAACACAGCACUGUGCAAACACGAAAGUGGACGUAUACGGUGUGACGCCUGCCCGGUGCCGGAAGGUUAAUUGAUGGGGUUAGCGCAAGCGAAGCUCUUGAUCGAAGCCCCGGUAAACGGCGGCCGUAACUAUAACGGUCCUAAGGUAGCGAAAUUCCUUGUCGGGUAAGUUCCGACCUGCACGAAUGGCGUAAUGAUGGCCAGGCUGUCUCCACCCGAGACUCAGUGAAAUUGAACUCGCUGUGAAGAUGCAGUGUACCCGCGGCAAGACGGAAAGACCCCGUGAACCUUUACUAUAGCUUGACACUGAACAUUGAGCCUUGAUGUGUAGGAUAGGUGGGAGGCUUUGAAGUGUGGACGCCAGUCUGCAUGGAGCCGACCUUGAAAUACCACCCUUUAAUGUUUGAUGUUCUAACGUUGACCCGUAAUCCGGGUUGCGGACAGUGUCUGGUGGGUAGUUUGACUGGGGCGGUCUCCUCCUAAAGAGUAACGGAGGAGCACGAAGGUUGGCUAAUCCUGGUCGGACAUCAGGAGGUUAGUGCAAUGGCAUAAGCCAGCUUGACUGCGAGCGUGACGGCGCGAGCAGGUGCGAAAGCAGGUCAUAGUGAUCCGGUGGUUCUGAAUGGAAGGGCCAUCGCUCAACGGAUAAAAGGUACUCCGGGGAUAACAGGCUGAUACCGCCCAAGAGUUCAUAUCGACGGCGGUGUUUGGCACCUCGAUGUCGGCUCAUCACAUCCUGGGGCUGAAGUAGGUCCCAAGGGUAUGGCUGUUCGCCAUACUGUCGGUAUUGGUGCUCAUACGCACUCCGUUGCGAUUGGUUCACAUGGACACACCAUCACCGUUAACGCUGCUGGUAACGCGGAAAACACCGUCAAAAACAUCGCAUUUAACUAUAUUGUGAGGCUUGCAUAAUGGCAUUCAGAAUGAGUGAACAACCACGGACCAUAAAAAUUUAUAAUCUGCUGGCCGGAACUAAUGAAUUUAUUGGUGAAGGUGAUGCAUAUAUUCCGCCUCAUACAGGUCUGCCAGCAAACAGUACCGAUAUUGCACCGCCAGAUAUUCCGGCUGGCUUCGUGGCUGUUUUCAACAGUGAUGAGUCAUCGUGGCAUCUCGUUGAAGAUCAUCGGGGUAAAACGGUUU
Molecule: ribosomal RNA, 2924 nt
Filed under: Escherichia coli
Lineage: Bacteria; Pseudomonadati; Pseudomonadota; Gammaproteobacteria; Enterobacterales; Enterobacteriaceae
Description: LSU rRNA
Rfam family: Bacterial large subunit ribosomal RNA
Source: RNAcentral